GUGGGGGAUAUUGCACAAUGGAGGAAACUCUGAUGCAGCGAUGCCGCGUGAGGGAAGAAGGUUUUCGGAUUGUAAACCUCUGUGGAGCGGGACGAUAAUGACGGUACCGCUCAAGGAAGCCACGGCUAACUACGUGCCAGCAGCCGCGGUAAUACGUAGGUGGCGAGCGUUGUCCGGAAUUACUGGGUGUAAAGGGAGUGUAGGCGGGAAUGCAAGUCAGAAGUGAAAACUAUGGGCUUAACCCAUAGCCUGCUUUUGAAACUGUAUUUCUUGAGUGAAGCAGAGGCAAGCGGAAUUCCUAGUGUAGCGGUGAAAUGCGUAGAUAUUAGGAGGAACACCAGUGGCGAAGGCGGCCUACUGGGCACCAACUGACGCUGAGGCUCGAAAGUGUGGGUAGCAAACAGGAUUAGAUACCCUGGUAGUCC
RNAcentral lists this ribosomal RNA (425 nucleotides) under uncultured bacterium. Its description in RNAcentral is "bacterial SSU rRNA". It matches the Rfam family "Bacterial small subunit ribosomal RNA", at positions 354 to 796 of the family's 1533-position model. The record is from RNAcentral.